GACGAACGCUGGCGGCGUGCUUAACACAUGCAAGUCGAACGGAAAGGCCCUGCUUUUGUGGGGUGCUCGAGUGGCGAACGGGUGAGUAACACGUGAGUAACCUGCCCUUGACUUUGGGAUAACUUCAGGAAACUGGGGCUAAUACCGGCUAGGAGCUCCUGCUGCAUGGUGGGGGUUGGAAAGUUUCGGCGGUUGGGGAUGGACUCGCGUCUUAUCAGCUUGUUGGUGGGGUAGUGGCUUACCAAGGCUUGGACGGGUAGCCGGCCUGAGAGGGUGACCGGCCACAUUGGGACUGAGAUACGGCCCAGACUCCUACGGGAGGCAGCAGUGGGGAAUAUUGCACAAUGGGCGGAAGGCUGAUGCAGCAACGCCGCGUGCGGGAUGACGGCCUUCGGGUUGUAAACCGCUUUCGCCUGUGACGAAGCGUGAGUGACGGUAAUGGGUAAAGAAGCACCGGCUAACUACGUG
RNAcentral lists this ribosomal RNA (468 nucleotides) under uncultured bacterium. Its description in RNAcentral is "partial 16S ribosomal RNA". It matches the Rfam family "Bacterial small subunit ribosomal RNA", at positions 28 to 507 of the family's 1533-position model. The record is from RNAcentral.